Molecule: long non-coding RNA, 865 nt
Organism: Mugil cephalus (flathead mullet)
Lineage: Eukaryota; Metazoa; Chordata; Actinopteri; Mugiliformes; Mugilidae
Exons: 2
Source: RefSeq, a predicted model, not a curated record
AAUCCGCUCUUCAAUCUGCAACUUUAAUAUAAUUCUUCUGUAUUAGCAUUAAACUACAUACCGCGUGGUAUUUACCCGCGUUUCUUCUAUAAUGGCCCCUUUGUCCUUGUUUUUUUGUCUUAUAAAGUUCUUUCCUGCUGAUGCGUCCGUGCGCAUUUAAAUCCGAGCUGACAGGGAAGUCAUAUGCAAAUUUCACGGCAAAAAAGGACGCUUUCUUUAGUGAUGCAUGCCACACAGGUCGGCCCUCCCCACCAGAAGCUCUGUUCCUUCCAAAAUUGCUACAACUAAUGCAAAAUGCGUUUUUUUUUUAAGUCUAGGCAACUAGACUUAAAGAUGUUUCGACACGUUUGGACGAGAUACAGCAUGGGCCCGACGAGGAAUUGUGGAUUUGAAACAUUUAUUGGACAAAAUUAGAAAACGUGGAAAACAAAGGACGUAGGAAACAGUUAAGUGUUACAUACAUAUUGCGAAACAAUUUGGGUUUUCCAUUUUUUUGCCCUGGUAAUAUGUCGCAGCCAACUGAGCGUUAAAAAUGUGCUUGUGACGUGUUUUCUGAUUAUCAUGUCAGUCUUGCAGUUAAUGCUUGAAGAAGUGACUGAACAGCUUUAAUAGAACAACAAAAACAACGUGGCUAAAGCUACAUAUGUUGAGUCUUUUUGUGAAGUGAAGAGUUCUGGUUUGAAUUAAAAUGCAGCUAAUUGGAGGGUUAAAGGGCAUAGUUCCCUCUGGGGCGUAGUCACUUCGUGGUCAUUUUGGUCCAUCAUCACAUUUGUCUCUUGUGUGUUUUCGUACUGUGAUAUUACACUCUGCUACGUCAGGUUCAAACUGCUCAGUAUUUUUCAUUCAAUAAAUUGUGAGAAGUCGA